ACGAACGCUGGCGGCGUGCUUAACACAUGCAAGUCGCACGGAAAGGCCCAGCUUGCUGGGUACUCGAGUGGCGAACGGGUGAGUAACACGUGGGUGAUCUGCCCCUGACUUUUGGAUAAGCCUGGGAAACUGGGUCUAAUACCGGAUAUGACCUUACAUCGCAUGGUGUUUGGUGGGAAGCUUUUGCGGUUGGGGAUGGGCCCGCGGCCUAUCAGCUUGUUGGUGGGGUAAUGGCCUACCAAGGCGACGACGGGUAGCCGACCUGAGAGGGUGAUCGGCCACACUGGGACUGAGACACGGCCCAGACUCCUACGGGAGGCAGCAGUGGGGAAUAUUGCACAAUGGGCGCAAGCCUGAUGCAGCGACGCCGCGUGAGGGAUGACGGCCUUCGGGUUGUAAACCUCUUUCACCAGGGACGAAGCGUGAGUGACGGUACCUGGAGAAGAAGCACCGGCCAACUACGUG
Molecule: ribosomal RNA, 465 nt
Filed under: uncultured bacterium
Lineage: Bacteria
Description: partial 16S ribosomal RNA
Rfam family: Bacterial small subunit ribosomal RNA
Source: RNAcentral